RNAcentral lists this ribosomal RNA (527 nucleotides) under Equus caballus (horse). Its description in RNAcentral is "partial 16S ribosomal RNA". It matches the Rfam family "Bacterial large subunit ribosomal RNA", at positions 1809 to 2562 of the family's 2925-position model. The record is from RNAcentral. Lineage: Eukaryota; Metazoa; Chordata; Mammalia; Perissodactyla; Equidae.
AAAAACAUCACCUCUAGCAUUUCCAGUAUUAGAGGCACUGCCUGCCCAGUGACAUCUGUUUAAACGGCCGCGGUAUCCUAACCGUGCAAAGGUAGCAUAAUCACUUGUUCCCUAAAUAGGGACUUGUAUGAAUGGCCACACGAGGGUUUUACUGUCUCUUACUUCCAAUCAGUGAAAUUGACCUUCCCGUGAAGAGGCGGGAAUGACUAAAUAAGACGAGAAGACCCUAUGGAGCUUUAAUUAACUGAUUCACAAAAAACAACACACAAACCUAACCUUCAGGGACAACAAAACUUUUGAUUGAAUCAGCAAUUUCGGUUGGGGUGACCUCGGAGAACAAAACAACCUCCGAGUGAUUUAAAUCCAGACUAACCAGUCAAAAUAUAUAAUCACUUAUUGAUCCAAACCAUUGAUCAACGGAACAAGUUACCCUAGGGAUAACAGCGCAAUCCUAUUCCAGAGUCCAUAUCGACAAUUAGGGUUUACGACCUCGAUGUUGGAUCAAGACAUCCUAAUGGUGCAACCGC